RNAcentral lists this ribosomal RNA (301 nucleotides) under uncultured bacterium. Its description in RNAcentral is "partial 16S ribosomal RNA". It matches the Rfam family "Bacterial small subunit ribosomal RNA", at positions 509 to 807 of the family's 1533-position model. The record is from RNAcentral.
CAGCAGCCGCGGUAAUACGAAGGGUGCAAGCGUUACUCGGAAUUACUGGGCGUAAAGCGUGCGUAGGUGGUGGUUUAAGUCCGUUGUGAAAGCCCUGGGCUCAACCUGGGAAUUGCAGUGGAUACUGGGUCACUAGAGUGUGGUAGAGGAUAGUGGAAUUUUCGGUGUAGCAGUGAAAUGCGUAGAGAUCGGAAGGAACAUCUGUGGCGAAGGCGACUAUCUGGGCCAACACUGACACUGAGGCACGAAAGCGUGGGGAGCAAACAGGAUUAGAUACCCCAGUAGUCCAUGUCUCUUAUAC